AUUGAACGCUGGCGGCAGGCCUAACACAUGCAAGUCGAGCGGAGGAAGGGAACUUGCCCCUGGAUUCAGAGGCGGACGGGUGUGUAAUGCCAAGGAAUAUGCCUGGGAGUGGGGGAUAACGUCCGGAAACGGGCGCUAAUACCGCAUGCGUCAUGAGGGCGAAAGAGAGGGAUCAUGGGAACUCAAGCUAUCAGAAAAGGCUAGGGGGGAUUGGCGGGUUGGUGGGGUAAUGGCCUACCAAGGAGACGAUCCGUAACUGGCCUGAAAGGCUGAACAGUCACACUGGAUCGGAGACACGUUCCAGACCCCUACGGGAGGCACCAGUGGGGAAUAUUGGACAAUGGGCGCAAGCGUGAUCCAUCCAUGCUGCGGGAGUGAAGAAGGCCGUCGGAUUGUAAAGCUCUGUAGGCUGUGAGGAAGGGCAGUACUUUUGUACCGGACUAUUUUGACGUUACCAACAGAAUAAGCACCGGCUAAUUACGUG
Molecule: ribosomal RNA, 484 nt
Filed under: uncultured bacterium
Lineage: Bacteria
Description: partial 16S ribosomal RNA
Rfam family: Bacterial small subunit ribosomal RNA
Source: RNAcentral